CAACCAUACAAGGAAGAGAAAACUUAAAUUAGCAAACUAGGGCUUGGCUUAGCGGUGGAAGGGGCUUGUCUCCUUCCACUGCACCUGGAUUCGAGCCCUAGCGUGCACGUCUGUC
Molecule: long non-coding RNA, 115 nt
Organism: Populus euphratica (Euphrates poplar)
Lineage: Eukaryota; Viridiplantae; Streptophyta; Magnoliopsida; Malpighiales; Salicaceae
Exons: 5
Source: RefSeq, a predicted model, not a curated record